RNAcentral lists this ribosomal RNA (497 nucleotides) under uncultured bacterium. RNAcentral's name for it is "partial 16S ribosomal RNA". It matches the Rfam family "Bacterial small subunit ribosomal RNA", at positions 28 to 507 of the family's 1533-position model. The record is from RNAcentral.
GAUGAACGCUGGCGGCGUGCCUAAUACAUGCAAGUCGAGCGGACAGACGAGGAGCUUGUGCGUUGGACGUUAGCGGCGGACGGGUGAGUAACGUGUGGAUAACCUACCUGUAAGACGGGGAUAAUUUGGGGAAAGCGGAUCUAAUAGCGGAUGAUAUAUUGAAGCGUAUGGUGGAAUUGUGAAAGACGGUGGUGCGGGAACUUAUCGAUGGGUCCGGGCCGCAUGAGCUGGUUGGUAAGGUAACGGCUUACCAAGGCAACGAGGCGUAGACGACCUGAGAGGGUGAUAGGCCACACUGGAACUGAGACACGGUCCAGACUCCUACGGGAGGCAGCAGUCGGGAAUCUUACGCAAUGGGCGAAAGCCUGACGGAGCAACGCCGCGUGAGUGAUGAAGGUCUUCGGAUCGUAAAACUCUGUUAUUAGGGAAGAACAAAUGUGUAAGUAACUAUGCACGUCUUGACGGUACCUAAUCAGAAAGCCACGGCUAACUACGUG